This 76-nucleotide transfer RNA is filed under the name Pleodorina starrii. RNAcentral describes it as "tRNA-Ala". It matches the Rfam family "tRNA". Rfam says of the family: Transfer RNA (tRNA) molecules are approximately 80 nucleotides in length. Their secondary structure includes four short double-helical elements and three loops (D, anti-codon, and T loops). The record is from RNAcentral. Lineage: Eukaryota; Viridiplantae; Chlorophyta; Chlorophyceae; Chlamydomonadales; Volvocaceae.
GGGGCUUUAGCUCAGUGCAGUAGAGCGCGCGCUUCGCAUGCGUGAGGUCACCGGAUCGUAAUCCCGGUAAGCUCCA